UAAAAAAUGUAAGUUUGUGGUUGCGUCUGGAAUAUUUGCUUCUGGACAGAUGGCUCGUUUCUUCAGUACUGCUAACUACUACUGGAGGAUUCCAUCAACAGUACUUUUUAAACUGGUCAAUCCAUUUGAUGACUGAUUAAAAGCACUGACGAGAACUAUAGCACUCGUAUUAUAUAAUAUUUAAAAGCAUGACAUACGGAAGCUUAGGCGUGAUGUAAUCUGGACCGUGGGACCAAAAGCUUGAUAAGGUUGAGAUUUAUCACACAGUAGUGUUGGGUCAGUUGGAUGGUGUGAGAUUUCUAUGGUAGGCGGAAAGCGGGAUUACUAAUUAGUGAAGUUGAAUGAGUAUGAAAUGGCAGGGAUGGUUUCUCUGAGGCAAACAAGUCAUCUGUGGACUACUCAAUCAAAAAUGAGUGGAAGAGUGGAUUUGUUCGUUUGCUUCUAGUGGGUGGUAUUCUGUGGAUGCUGCUCAUUCUAACUGUAGUACUUUCAUAUAUACAUGCCAAUCGUCUAUUCUUUUCUUUUCAGUGUGAGAGAUGAAGCCGAAGGUUACAUGCUUAAGGAGUUGGCCUUGCUAAAAUCACAAGAAAAAGCUGUAAAGUUUCCAUUGCAAGAAUAAUGCUCUGGAAAUGGUAGAAGUUCAAAUGACCUUGCUUGGAAGAAAAUAUAAGUUCUAAAAGGUUGACAAUGCAAGUAGACGAAAGAAGAUCAAACGUUCAGAGCUACUCGAAAGAAUUAAAAAACGAAAGCAUCAGCUGGCUAAUCAACUUUUUCUUUUUUAAUGCCUUUGAUCUUACGUGCCUUUGAAUCAGAAACCCUCACGGGAGAAAGCAGCCAAGAUCACAAGAGAAGGCAUGAGGCAUGAUCCAGAAAUUGAUGGCCGUAUUGUAUGGGAAAGGUUGACUGUCUGCCAGGUUUUCGCACUGAACAAGUGUAGAGUAGCUCUAACAAGUAUAGAUGAGAAAAUAUUGAUGUUAGUAUAUGAGUUGGGACAAGUAUAACUCAAUUUCUUUUUAAGUAUUUACAUUUGUUCAACUUUUCUAUAUCAUUGACUUUCAUGGUUGAAUACUAUAUUGAUGAAGAACUUGACUUGGACAAAAAUUAAAAUUUGGUGCUGACCCAAU
Molecule: long non-coding RNA, 1124 nt
Organism: Erigeron canadensis
Lineage: Eukaryota; Viridiplantae; Streptophyta; Magnoliopsida; Asterales; Asteraceae
Exons: 8
Source: RefSeq, a predicted model, not a curated record